UAGCAGCUCGAGCUAUGCAAGUUCAAUCCCAUAUUUGGGUGCUCUGACCAUCUUUUUUCAAUUACAGGAAUCCCAGGUUCCUUUACUUUGUUUUUCAUAUAUGAAAAAAGAGAGGAAGAAAUAGAUCAUGUACUUCAAGAUAUUGUCUCAUUUACAUGGAAAUUGAAGUCUGAUAUUUCUGGGAAAAUUUUCAGCUCUGCAAAAGACCGAUAAUAGACAGCAAAUUACCUGAUCAAACUUCUUCCUUAUCUUGAGAAGCUUUCUUAAGCAGGUUGUUGAAGUUGAAGGACUUCACCUUAUCCUUGUGUGUAACAUAUUCAUGGGAACCUUGCCGAAAGCCAUUUUUCUGUCUGAUCUGAUAUCAGGCUGCUGUGUGUCAAGGCAUUGUCUUUUGUUUGCUCUUCUCAUUUCUCUCCGCUUCCCCUCUUUUGCCAAUAUUACUAGAGUACAUUUGGCUCUCGCUGCACUGGUGUGAAUGGUUUUGUUCUGGUCCUAUAUUUGUUGGGGCAGAGGUGGAGGUAGAAACAAAUUUUUGUGUCUAUUGUGAUAUGUGUAAUUUUGCUGCUCCUGAAGAAUGUGGUUGCUUUUGUGUAAGGGCAGCUUUCCUCUAAUUUUACUUCAAAGUUAUAAUCCAGCAUCUUAAAUGUUUUCUUCUUUCAUGGUCUGCGUGCAUAGAAGCUUGCAGAGCUAUUAUUUGUUAUCUAUAAUUUUUUUUGAAUCUAUAACAAUUGUAGAAAGGUUGAUCAUGAUUGGAUGCUUAGUAUUUUGGCGUCUUGAUGUUUGUCUAUUAUUUCCAUUUGACCUUGAAAUGUUAAAGACUAAAAGAGGAUAAUUGUGUAUUUAUUUUUAUUGGGAAAUGUUUUGUUCUUUAAAAGUCUUGUUAAG
Molecule: long non-coding RNA, 885 nt
Filed under: Solanum tuberosum (potato)
Lineage: Eukaryota; Viridiplantae; Streptophyta; Magnoliopsida; Solanales; Solanaceae
Description: long non-coding RNA (STUB_LNC002708)
Source: RNAcentral